AUCACCACAGGCCAUGCAAGGAAGCUAUGCCAGUCACCUUUUUGAAUUGCCAGGCAUUCGUGAGGCCGUUUGUGGGGAAGUCUCCAGAAGAGGAAUCUUUCUGUUGAGGGAGCAUGCACACCACACCGGGAAUGGAGUAACAACUGUAGUUCCAGAGACUUUUGAGGCUGAAAAAAGGAGACUUCAUCACCCACGGAGAAACUCUUUCUGGCAUUCUUGGAAAGAAGACUUCAUCACAGACAUAGAGUCUUUUUGGGCAUUUUUUGGAGGAGGGUUCAUCAGCGACAUAGGGAGUCACUUUUUGGGUGUUUUAUGGAGGAGCGCAAAUUCUAAUUGAAAAAGGCAAGUUCAUAACUGCCGGAGUAGUUCACCACUGUUGAAAAUUGCUGGUUCGUCUAUGGAGUUCAUCAUUGCUGGAGUAGUUCACCACCGUUGAAGCUCGCUAGUUCGUUUAUAAAGAGUCAUCACCACCAUUAGAGUUCAUUGUCAUCGGAGCACAAUAUUCAUCACGGCCAUUGCAGUCCACCGUCAGUGAGAAAGGAUAUCAGACACCCAUUUUUGGAGCUUCAGGAUCUUCAUAUUCGAGGAUGAAAUCGCCAUUUUCCUUUGGAUAUCCAUUUUUCUGAGGGAACAAGAGAUCACACAUGCCUCAUUAUUCUUUUCUGGUUUCCGCGAACAUCACAGGAGAUUUUUCUACCAUUUCAAAUCAGCACUCACCAUUCUUCACCCUCAUCUUGUCAAGAGAUCACCAUUCUUAUUAUCCUUUUUUCUACAGUCUUUUUAACUUUUCUUUUUUCCGUUUGGUUGCCUAGAAAAUCCAGAUUUUCCUACCCUUCAGUUUCUAGGAAAUCACAAACUUGUAAGUACAUUCUCGCCUUUCAAAUGGGUGUUUCCAAGAUUCCUGCUCCCUUUUUUUUCUUUUUCUUUUUCUUUUCCUUCCUUUGAUUUUUCAGCAACCAAAUAGAUCAUAAAUGGAAACUGUUCCACAACUAGGAUUGUUCACCCAGUAGGUCAUUAACGGAAACUGUUUAGUUAAGAGGAAGGAUUUUUGUCACGAUUUCCCUGGAACCCCAAUUUCUAUUUGGUUGCCUAGAAAAAACAAGGAAAGACAGAAAUUGACUACCUGAACUUUGGAUGUUGCUUUUGCUUCGUAGGGUAUUGGAUCAUCAGAAGAUUCUAAAAAAGAAAAAGUAUAAAACCAAAUAUUGGCUGUCAAGGUACAUAUCAACUCUUAUUCUUAUCUAACUCCUUUUCUUUUGCUCUGUUUUGAAUCGUGAUCAAACUUUUCGUCUCCAUAAAUUUAGGGAAAAUUGAAAGCAACUUCAAGUUGAGUUGUAGGAGAUCAAAAAAAUCUGAAGAGUGGUACAUUUUACAUUGUUUCUAUAAUGAGAAAUUUUAUAUUCUCAUAUAUUAAUUGGAUGCUUUGUUUUUGAAACAUUAGGCUUAAGUUUCGAGGUUUAUUAUGAGAAUGAGAGCGUUAACGUUGGUUCCCGUGAUUCUGUUGGUACUAGUAGCACGAGGAAAUCUAUGCAGUUCAACAAAGGGACUGUUCCGAGCAAUUCAAGCGUGUCAAAAGUUAUUUCAAUUGCUCAUCUUCUUCAGCAUUUGUUGAUUGUGGUGGUUGUUUGGGUAUAAUGGGAACAAAUAUAAGUCAAGGUGCUAGUGUUUGUAAUACUUCAAGGAGAGGUACUUUGCUAUUUUUCAGAAAUUUUAUUUUCAUUUUUUUUUCUGAUUAAAUGGUGCAUUAUAUGCUCCUUAUUCUAGAGAACAGCAAGUGCAAAAAAAUUGAAGGUCUCUUCUAAUAACCAAAUGACCAAGGUUAGGGCCGUGAAUCUGUUAAUAAUGCUCGAAGGUAUUCUUCAUUAUUUUUCUCAUAUUUAUAGAAUUUUAGUUUAGUACUGGAAUCUUUUAAUGAUGUUAACCGAAUACGGAACCUACUUUGUGGUUUUUCUUAUACCUACAAAAAUGCUAAUCAAUGAGUUUUUUCUGGGCAACCAAACAGAAAUGAGGGUUCCGGGGAAAUCGUGACAAAAAUUCUUCCUCUUAACUAAAUAGUUUUUGUUAAUGACCUACUGGGUUAGCGAUCUUAGUUGAGGAACUCCAAUAAACCUAAAUCAGCCCAUCCAUUCAAAUGCACAAGAACUCCAAAUGUAACCAAAAUUCAAACAAAUUUAUUACCUUUCGAUGCACUUCAAGCUGUGUCAAACUCAGAGAAACAAUCACCAACACUCCAAGAAUGCAAAAACUUGCACUUAUCCCCAUAACUACAAUUUCCUUGAAGCCAAUAAUUACAAAGCUUCUCAAUCUUCCUAAAUACUCUAUUGCUCGCGCCACUACCUUGAGCUCUAUUGCCUGCACCACCGUCAUGAACUCGCCCCCAUGUAGGAU
Vitis vinifera (wine grape) is the source of this 2388-nucleotide long non-coding RNA. RefSeq lists it as uncharacterized. The record is from RefSeq and is a predicted model, not a curated record. NCBI's taxonomy places the organism in Eukaryota, Viridiplantae, Streptophyta, Magnoliopsida, Vitales, Vitaceae. The transcript has 3 exons.